This 497-nucleotide ribosomal RNA is filed under the name uncultured bacterium. RNAcentral describes it as "bacterial SSU rRNA". It matches the Rfam family "Bacterial small subunit ribosomal RNA", at positions 30 to 504 of the family's 1533-position model. The record is from RNAcentral.
UGAACGCUGGCGGCGUGCUUAACACAUGCAAGUCGAACGAGAAAGCUCUUUUCGGAGAGUUAGUAGAGUGGCGCACGGGUGAGUAACACGUGGAUAAUCUACCUUCGAGAUUGGGAUAACCAUUCGAAAGGAUGGCUAAUACCGGAUAAAGUUUAUAAUUAUUGAGAUUAUAAAUGAAAGGCAGCCUCUGUAUAUGCUGUUGCUUGGAGAUGAGUCCGCGUACCAUUAGUUUGUUGGUGGGGUAAAGGCCUACCAAGACUACGAUGGUUAGCUGGUCUGAGAGGAUGAUCAGCCACACUGGAACUGGAACACGGUCCAGACUCCUACGGGAGGCAGCAGUGAGGGAUUUUGCGCAAUGGGGGAAACCCUGACGCAGCAACGCCGCGUGAGUGAAGAAGGUCUUUGGGUCGUAAAGCUCUGUCAACAGGGAAGAAAUUACAAUUAUUUAAAAGAUGAUAGUAUUGACGGUACCUGUGAAGGAAGCACCGGCUAACUCC